RNAcentral lists this ribosomal RNA (469 nucleotides) under Diogenes inglei. Its description in RNAcentral is "partial large subunit ribosomal RNA". Lineage: Eukaryota; Metazoa; Arthropoda; Malacostraca; Decapoda; Diogenidae. The record is from RNAcentral.
UCGGGUUUUUAUAUCUGGUUCUUUGAAAAACAAAUUUAAUUUGGCUAAAAAGUAAAUAUAUUUUUUAGUUAAGAGAAUUAGGGUAGAGCUUAAUUUUCGAAAUUAUUAAUUUAUAAAAUAUAUAAUUUGUUAUAUUUAUUUGAUGAGGCUUAAAAGUAGCUUUUUUAAUAAUUGUUUUAAAUUAAAAAUAAAUAAAUAAUAUUUAUAAGUUUUUGGUAAAAUAUUUAAGGAUUAAAUUUUAAAUAAAAUUAAUUUAGUUGUGAUAAUAUUAUUAGUAGAAAAUUGAGUUAAUAGGUUAAAAAAAUUUAAAAUAAUAAAACUUAUAUAUUGAAAAAUUGCUUUAAGGAAUUCGGCAAAUAUUAUUUCCGCCUGUUUAACAAAAACAUCUCUAUUUGGAUAUAUAAAUAGUUUGACCUGCCCAAUGAAUAUUUUAAAGGCCGCGGUAUUUCUAACUGUGCCAAGGUAGCAU